GGCUUUUGCUUUCUCAACUCUUGACAAGAGGAUGCUGCAGUGGGGCUGCUAGGAACAAGAUAACAGUUUUGGUUUCAUGGCCUGUGUUAGGAAAACAAGUGCAAAGGUCAGGCUCUCUUGAGGCGAUGUCCUUGCUCCCCUGAAGGCAGAGGGAGCAUCACCAUUGACUCAGCCCAGGGGAUAUGCAUGGUUUAACUUAUUCCAGCAGAGGAGAAGGAUCAUCUCCAGCUGCUCUGGGCCGAUAGGAGCCAAAUCCAGGAAAUGUGUUUGUUGUCUCCCCGUCUCACUCAGGUUGCCUUGCUAAGUGCUGCAAAGCUGCUGUUGGCCUUGGGCUGCAGAGGGCUGUGCAGAAAGUGCCUUUACCCAGCUGCAUCAGCCUAAGGAGCAUCCCCAGAGCAUCACUGGAGAAAGCAUUGUGAAAUGGGUGUUUUCUUGUCAUGGGGAGAUACCCAGCCCUGUGUGAGCUGUACUCCAUUCCAUCAGUCCCUGUUAGCACCUGCAUCUUUCCCAAGGCGUGGUUCUGUAUUUCCUUAUCAGGAGCAGCACUUUUGCUGGGCAGGAGUGGACCAGAGCAGAACAAAGAUAAGCAGGAGAUCUGGUUUGCACAAUCACACCUAUGGAGAAGCACGCAGAGGUUGGGAGAUGGUUAUCACCGACCACGUGUCAACAUCUUCAAAACUCAUCUCGAUCGGUUUCUCUGUGCUUCGCAGUUGCUAAUUGCUUUCACCCCGCACGCGUGGCCCGAUGCACUCUCUGAGUUACUGAACCUGAGGACCUGCUACAGAUGGGAAAGCUGAGGUGCAGAGGGUUUAAGGGCCUCAUUCUUCUUUUGUGACCUACAGCCUCAACGAGAGUUUUUACAGAAAUGGAACACCACGGAACAGCAAAUUUGGGACCCCUGUCACUUGACAAAAGAAAUGUUUGGCUCAGAAUGCUAUUUUUCUUAAAUGUAUCUUUCAGCCACUGUCAUUAAAAUUGUUGAAUAGCUUUAGGAACCUGUUUUGUCAACUACCUUGGGGACAAGUAUGAAAUACUGGGCUGUUAAACGUGCGCCACAGAAAAUGAACUGCGCCGUGCAUGAGCCGCGGGAGGAGCACACCUCGGCUCCUCGUGGACCCUCCCCACUGCUGCAGCAGCUUUAAUUAGCUGGGAUUAGGUAUUCCCAACUCAGGGAGAUGCUCUUCAUAAAUAUUUGUUUGCACUUAAAAGCAGAUUUCUGCAAAGGUUCUGGUGCUGGCAGUUUCCCUGCAGGAGCCAAAGUGGGGAUGCAAUGCCCAGAGGUGCACGAUGUGCGCAGCCCAUGUUGUGCACUGAGGACACUUCAUCAGCCAAGUUUUGGGUUAUUUCUUCAAGUAGGGCAUUGGUGGGGCUGAUUCUUACAUUUUUAGAUAUAUUUAGUAUGUAAAAAAAUGUGUACACCACUGUGCAUUAAACUGAACUGCACAAAUGAAUUUUGUGCCUGAGAGCAAGAAUAUUCAUUGUAUACAUUAAUGCUUCCUCAUUUCUAAUUAUUUAUUUCUAAAUAUGGGUGAAGCUGCCUGUCUCUGGAGGGGGGUAUUGCAAUUGUGUGAGGUUAUGUUUGGAUGGAUAGAAGUGUUUUACUCCCACAAUAUUCCUUUUUAAAUAAAUAUGUAGUGAUAAGCCA
Cyanistes caeruleus (blue tit) is the source of this 1645-nucleotide long non-coding RNA. Lineage: Eukaryota; Metazoa; Chordata; Aves; Passeriformes; Paridae. The record is from Ensembl.